UGUUAUCACGGGAGACACACGGCGGGUGCUAACGUCCGUCGUGAAGAGGGAAACAACCCAGACCGCCAGCUAAGGUCCCAAAGUCAUGGUUAAGUGGGAAACGAUGUGGGAAGGCCCAGACAGCCAGGAUGUUGGCUUAGAAGCAGCCAUCAUUUAAAGAAAGCGUAAUAGCUCACUGGUCGAGUCGGCCUGCGCGGAAGAUGUAACGGGGCUAAACCAUGCACCGAAGCUGCGGCAGCGAACGUAUCACUUAAAGCGAUUCAGCGGGUUACGAUUGACGGAGCGAAGCGACGUCAAAGCGUAUACAAAGUCGAGUCGGUUUAAGGAUACGUUCGUUGGGUAGGGGAGCGUUCUGUAAGCCCGUGAAGGUGGCCUGUGAGGGUUGCUGGAGGUAUCAGAAGUGCGAAUGCUGACAUAAGUAACGAUAAAGCGGGUGAAAAGCCCGCUCGCCGGAAGACCAAGGGUUCCUGUCCAACGUUAAUCGGGGCAGGGUGAGUCGACCCCUAAGGCGAGGCCGAAAGGCGUAGUCGAUGGGAAACGGGUUAAUAUUCCCGUACUUGGUGUUACUGCGAAGGGGGGACGGAGAAGGCUAUGUUGGCCGGGCGACGGUUGUCCCGGUUUAAGCGUGUAGGUGUGUGUUCCAGGUAAAUCCGGUUCACUUUAACACUGAGGCGUGACGACGAGGCACUACGGUGCUGAAGCAACAAAUGCCCUGCUUCCAGGAAAAGCCUCUAAGCAUCAGGUAACAUCAAAUCGUACCCCAAACCGACACAGGUGGUCAGGUAGAGAAUACCAAGGCGCUUGAGAGAACUCGGGUGAAGGAACUAGGCAAAAUGGUGCCGUAACUUCGGGAGAAGGCACGCUGACACGUAGGUGAAGUGAUUUACUCAUGGAGCUGAAGUCAGUCGAAGAUACCAGCUGGCUGCAACUGUUUAUUAAAAACACAGCACUGUGCAAACACGAAAGUGGACGUAUACGGUGUGACGCCUGCCCGGUGCCGGAAGGUUAAUUGAUGGGGUCAGCGCAAGCGAAGCUCCUGAUCGAAGCCCCGGUAAACGGCGGCCGUAACUAUAACGGUCCUAAGGUAGCGAAAUUCCUUGUCGGGUAAGUUCCGACCUGCACGAAUGGCGUAAUGAUGGCC
RNAcentral lists this ribosomal RNA (1141 nucleotides) under Salmonella enterica subsp. enterica serovar Typhimurium. Its description in RNAcentral is "bacterial LSU rRNA". It matches the Rfam family "Bacterial large subunit ribosomal RNA", at positions 970 to 2012 of the family's 2925-position model. Lineage: Bacteria; Pseudomonadati; Pseudomonadota; Gammaproteobacteria; Enterobacterales; Enterobacteriaceae. The record is from RNAcentral.